This 391-nucleotide unclassified non-coding RNA is filed under the name soil metagenome. Its description in RNAcentral is "partial contains 5.8S ribosomal RNA, internal transcribed spacer 2, and large subunit ribosomal RNA". The stretch from base 1 to 122 matches the Rfam family "5.8S ribosomal RNA", at positions 35 to 154 of the family's 154-position model. The record is from RNAcentral.
GAUGAAGAACGCAGCGAAAUGCGAUACUUGGUGUGAAUUGCAGUAUCCCGUGAACCAUCGAGUCUUUGAACGCAAGUUGCGCCCGAAGCCACUAGGCCGAGGGCCCGCCUGCCUGGGCGUCACACGCCGUUGCCCCCCCAUCUACUCCUUCGGGAUUGCGGGGGGGCGGAUGAUGGCCUCCUGUGCGCCUAGCCGCGCGGUUGGCAUAAAUACCAAGUCCUCGGCGACGCACGCCACGACAAUCGGUGGUUGCGAAACCUCGGUUGCCCGUCGUGUGCGUUCGUCGCGCAUCGAGGGCUCGAAAAAAUGCUCGGCUCCGGCUGGGCUUUCAACGCGACCCCAGGUCAGGCGGGGUUACCCGCUGAAUUUAAGCAUAUCAAUAAGCGGAGGA